AUACGGAGGGGGCUAGCGUUGUUCGGAAUUACUGGGCGUAAAGCGCGCGUAGGCGGUCCGCGUAGUCAGGCGUGAAAGCCCCGGGCUCAACCUGGGAACUGCGUUUGAUACUGGCGGACUAGAGUCCGGGAGAGGGUAGUGGAAUUCCCAGUGUAGAGGUGAAAUUCGUAGAUAUUGGGAAGAACACCAGUGGCGAAGGCGGCUACCUGGACCGGUACUGACGCUGAGGUGCGAAAGCGUGGGGAGCAAACAGGAUUAGAAACCCCAGUAGUCC
Molecule: ribosomal RNA, 274 nt
Filed under: uncultured bacterium
Lineage: Bacteria
Description: partial 16S ribosomal RNA
Rfam family: Bacterial small subunit ribosomal RNA
Source: RNAcentral